Molecule: ribosomal RNA, 245 nt
Filed under: uncultured Bacteroidota bacterium
Lineage: Bacteria; Pseudomonadati; Bacteroidota
Description: uncultured Bacteroidetes bacterium partial 16S ribosomal RNA
Rfam family: Bacterial small subunit ribosomal RNA
Source: RNAcentral
UACGGAGGAUGCAAGCGUUAUCCGGAUUUAUUGGGUUUAAAGGGUGCGCAGGCGGUGCCUUAAGUCAGCGGUGAAAUGUCCCGGCUCAACCGGGGAGCUGCCGUUGAUACUGGGGUGCUGGAGUGCGGACGGCGCCGGCGGAAUGUGUCAUGUAGCGGUGAAAUGCAUAGAUAUGACACAGAACACCGAUCGCGAAGGCAGCUGGCGAGGCCGUAACUGACGCUGAGGCACGAAAGCGUGGGGAU